CUCAAGUGAUAACUUCUUUUAUGAGCCAAGUGUCUGGGCCACCUAAUGUUUGUGAUGGUGUUGAGGAACUGAUGGG
Small nucleolar RNA from Notolabrus celidotus (New Zealand spotty), 76 nucleotides. RefSeq annotates it as small nucleolar RNA SNORD66. Lineage: Eukaryota; Metazoa; Chordata; Actinopteri; Labriformes; Labridae. The record is from RefSeq and is a predicted model, not a curated record. The transcript has a single exon.